Molecule: ribosomal RNA, 477 nt
Filed under: uncultured anaerobic ammonium-oxidizing bacterium
Lineage: Bacteria
Description: bacterial SSU rRNA
Rfam family: Bacterial small subunit ribosomal RNA
Source: RNAcentral
UUCGCAAUGCCCGAAAGGGUGACGAAGCGACGCCGCGUGUGGGAAGAAGGCCUUCGGGUUGUAAACCACUGUCGGGAGUUAAGAAAUGCAAGGAUAUUAAUAGUGUCUUUGUUUGACUAAGGCUCCGGAGGAAGCCACGGCUAACUCUGUGCCAGCAGCCGCGGUAAUACAGAGGCGGCAAGCGUUGUUCGGAAUUAUUGGGCGUAAAGAGCACGUAGGCGGCUAUGUAAGUCGGUUGUGAAAGCCUUCCGCUCAACGGAAGAACAGCAUCCGAUACUGCAUGGCUUGAGUGCGGGAGGGGAGAGUGGAACUUCUGGUGGAGCGGUGAAAUGCGUAGAUAUCAGAAGGAACGCCGGCGGCGAAAGCGGCUCUCUGGCCCAUAACUGACGCUGAGUGUGCGAAAGCUAGGGGAGCAAACGGGAUUAGAUACCCCGGUAGUCCUAGCCGUAAACGAUGGGCACUAAGUAGAGGGGUUUU